CUAGGUAGUAAUUAUGGAAGUUAGGAUACUAUCCUCUCAUAGAGACUGGAAGACAGAGGCCUUAUCCUUUCUGAUUAUUACAUUUCAAAGGAAUACCUCUCAGGUCCUUGAGAAAGACACUUGGGUGUAAGACAUACAUAUUUACAAUUGAAAGGACUUUUUAAAUAACUAUAAUAGUAAAUUCUCUUGGCAACCCUGAGCUUCCUUAUUCUGGCAUUUCAAUGGAGGCCAAAGUCAUUGCAGGGCAGGAAUUAUCCUAGGGACUGGGCCUUUUGCUGCUAGAAAUCAUCCUGGAGUUUGGUCAAGUUUCUUAAUGCAGUGGUUUGGAUAGAGCUCUUAUGCACUGAGAAGUCAGUUUUCGAUGUCAGAUUCCUAAAAGGAAUUUAAUAAACGUGAGGAUAUCAAGUAAGAGAUACUAAGUGGAUAAAAAUGCAGCUUGUAGAAUUGGACACAAUAAUUGACUUCACAGACAGGAGAGAUGUUUUAUGUGGGAACCACAGACAAAUACUCACGUUUGUACUUCUGCUUCAGGGUGGCCCAAUAUCUCACUUCUAUCUUCCUUCUCAUGGCCCUUUCUGGAGUAUUCUUUUCUCUUCUGAUCAAACAUAUACAGAUUCAUAAAACUGACUUCAGCAUUCACACAUUUGAAUUGCAGCAUAAUGUUUAUCAGCUUGUGCUUCCAGUGGACACAUUUUGUAUCUCAAUGACUAUGGAAUUUGUGCAUUUGGAUUUGCUUUGAAUGCCCAGGCUACCCUGAUGCCCUCUGUUCUAAUCCACCAGAUAGACCAAGAAAACAAAUAAACAAUACAAAUCAAGACAUUAUUGUAUUACUGAAUGUCUGGACUUAAGAAACAGAUGGAGAAUGUGUUAAUAACAGAAUAAUCUUAAAAGUGUAUGGUGUUAUGUCUCCAUCACAUGUUCACAGCACAAAAUUUUUGAAAAAGAAUAUAUUCUUCCAAUACUUGAAAUAAUCCAUUAAGCAGUCACUCAUGUAUUAAAAAGUGAGUGAAAUUCCAAUAUACAUCUUUGUCGCUUCACUAUCCUAUUUGUUUAAGAAGAGGAAAAUUGCCAAAGGUCAUAAAAUAUGAGAUGAGCAGACAUUUUACUAGACAUACAGGUAGCAAAUAAACCCAUGAAAAACUACUCAUCAGGAAUCCCUAGGGAAAUGCAAUUAAAUCAAUAGUGAGACACCACUACAUAUUAUUUAAAAGGGCUAAAUUAAAAAUGAUAAACCAGUAACACAGAUGGACCCAGAGAAUAAGUGAAAUAAGUCAGACUGAGAAAUACCAUAUGAUCUCACUUAUACGUGAAAUCUAAAGAACAGAAUAAAAGAGCAAACAGAAAUACGUGGUGUGAUUAAAAAAUACGGUGAAUGUUUAAAUGGAAAAAAAACUACAGUAAAAGAUACAUUGCCAUUAAUCCCCUUCAAAGUACUUCCCCUUGUUUCGAACACACUUAUCCCAUUGUUCUUGCCACUUUCUCCAGCAGUUCUGGAAGUCCUCUUUAGUGUCUUUAGUUGUGUUGUCAUGACUGCCUUGAUGUCCUGAAUCAUUUUGACUUUGCGGAAGAACCAAAAAUUGCACAGUGCCAGAUCCAGUGAAUAAGGUGGAGGACACACCGUUUUUAUUUCACAGAAACUGCCAUAUACCAGAAGCAAUGUGUGACAGAGUAUUGUCAUGAUGGAGGAUGAUUUACAACACACUUUAACACACUUCUUUCAACAGUAGCUCACACCUGACUGCAUUGAGCAAGUCGAAACUUGUCACACAGUUAUUAAGGUUCAAUGUGCCACUUCCCGUAUUGAAGAUCCCUGCCUAUCCAUUGGAUGGCACUCAGCAGCAGCAUUCACUGCAUUUUCUGAUCACAACGAAAAGGUUCCAUGUCACACAUUGCUUCUGAUAUAUGGCAACAAUGUCAGAGGGGUAGUAGGCUUGAGGGAGUAUCACGUUGUGAGGGGUAUAAAUGUCUAAUCAUGUUGUUUUGUACAUCUGAAACUAAAAAAUAAAAUUUAAAUUAAACCAAACCAAGUAUUCACAAUGAUGUGGAGAGAUGGAACUCUCAUAAACUGCUGAUAAGAAGGCAAAAAGGCUCUGGGUGGUUGUUGUCAUGCAGCAGCCUACCCAUCUGUCCCCUCAUACCUACCUCUAAAGAAAGGAGUCUGUGAGACUAAUCCUUUCAGGGACUUUGCUUCACCUUUGUGUUUACACCUCAUGUCUCCCUGUUUGGCCCCAGAGGAUGGCUGGUUAGCCAAUGACGAGUAAGAUUCCCCACUGAGGGGACAGACAACUCAAGCCAGGCACAGCAGAGUGGGGACCAGCAGGACAACCCACAGAGUUGAUAGAGGUGGGUAUAGACCCCCACCUUCCCCCGGUUAAGGAGAGCCUCUGCCUUUGUGGCUGCAUUCCUUCCCACAACCUGCUUGGGAAGAGAUUCAAUGGUGUAAUAACAUCAGUUCUCCAUCUAUCCAUUUCAGUAAGUUUCAGCAUAAAGGUUUUGUCUCUUGGGGAGGUACAUUUGAAACUGACGGUUCAGCUGUUUGCAGGCAAGGGUAAUUAGUUCAAAUCAGUUUCUUAGUAUGUGUGAAAUUCACAGACCUUGGAGAAAACAAUGUUGCUUCCUUGUGUGUGCAUCAAUAAAAGCCACAAGGUGGCCCCAUUCGGGGCUCUCAGUCCUUUGAGGCUGUGAGACCCUUGGCCCCCACUUCAUAACUUUAUUGAUUUGUUUCUUACUUUUUCAACCUUUUGCCUCCCCUUCUCGUUCGCUUACUGCCUGUGUUGUGCUGGAUGUGACAGGUGGUGAACACACAAUGUGAUUUAUAGAGGAUGUAAUACAGAAUUGUAUACCUGCAAUUUAUAUAACUUUACUAACAAUUGUCAUCCCAAUAAACUUUAAUUUAAAAAAAUGCAGAAAGGUACAAUCAUUUCAAAUCAUCAUUUGUUAGUUUCUUUAAAAAUGACGCAGACAGUGUGGCUGAUAGCUCAGUUGGUUAGAGCGUGAGCUCUGAAUAGGGUUGCCGGUUCGAUUCCCUCAUGGGCCAGUGAGCUGCACCCUCCACAACUAGAUUGAAGACAACGAGCUGCUGGGGAGCUGCUGGAGGGACGGCCAGAUGGCUCAUUUGGUUAGAGAGCCAGCUCUUAACAAUGUUACCGGUUCAAUUCCCCCAGUGGGAUGGUAGGCUGUGCGCCCUGCAACCAAAGAUGGAAAACGGCAACUGGACUUGGAGCUGAGCCGCGCCCUCCACAGCUACAUUGAAGGACAACAACUUGAAGCUCAGGGACCCUGGAGAAACACAGUGUUUCCCAAUAUUCCCCAAUAAAAUUAAAAAAAAGUGACUCAGACAUUACACUCUACUGACAAAAGAAUGAUGAAACAUAUAUCUAUAUAAAGAGCUGUACGUAUAAGUUUGUACAAGAUUUAAAACAGUCGAAAAAAUGCAAAUACUCAAAUGUCCCUAAAGAAAUGCACGGACAAACUAAUUACAGUAUAACCAAAAACAUUAAAAAAUAAAGUCGAGCUGAGCUUACGAGGUGGGGCAGUUAAGUUCGCAAACUCAUCCUAGAAAAAGUGCUACAUGCCCCAUUGCUGAAUAUCACUACGGUCACUUUCAAAGUACUCCCGUUGGGAAGGUAUGCACUGACGCCAGCACCUAGUCCACCCAUCAAAACAAUUUUGGAACUCUUUCUGGAAUGACCAUCAGAGCUGUCAUCGUAUUACCCUUGAUGUCCUGAAUGUCAUAAAAGUGUCUUCCUUUCAGUAUUUCCUUUAUCUUCGGGUAAGGAAAGAAGUCAUUGGGGGCCAGAUCAGGUGAGUAGGGAGAGUGUUCCAAUAGUUAUUUGUUUACUGGCUAAAAUCUCCCUCACAGGUAGUGCUAUGUGAGCUGGUGCAUUGUUGUGAUGCAAGAGCCAUGAAUUGUUGGUGAAAAGUUCAGGUCGUCUAAUUUUUUCAAGCAGCCUUUUCAGCACUUCCAAAUAGUAAACUUGGUUAAUUGUUUGUCCAGUUGGUACAAAUUCAUAAUGAAUAAUCCCUCUGAUAUCAAAAACAGCAACCUCGUUGCAACAAGUUCACGAACUUAAUUGUCAUACCUCGUGUAUAAAUUAAUCUCAAAGUAACAAGCAACAUAAAGGAAAUCAGAAAAAAAGUAAAUGCAAUGAUUAUCAUCAUAUAAAUUCUAGGAAACACAAAGGUAUCUAUACUAAGGGAAAAUAAAUCAAUGGUUAUUUGGAGGGCUGUGAAGGGCAGGGAGAGCUAUAAACAAACAUGAAGCAAAAAUACAGUGACAGAUUUAGUCAUCACCAUGACUAUGACGGUUUCAGCAUCAUAUGUAUGUCAAAACUUAUCAAAUACUACACUUUAAAUAGGUGCAGCUUAUUACAUGUAAAUUAUACCUUAAUAAAGCUUUAAAAAUGGCUCAAGGUGAAAAAAAAAUUUGUACAUCCUACUCUUUGGGAAAUAGGUUUGGCAACCUUAUGUUGACUCCACCACCUUUCUCCUAUUGCCCUCUGAGGGUCAGUCUUAUCUCAGGGGCAGCAAAUAUUAGCUAAUAAUAAAGGACAUCUCUACUUCAGUCAGCACGAAUUCUGGAUGGGUCACAAGAGCCACAUCCCUAGACUUUGUUUUAUCUUUGUUUUCCUACCUGUGCAAUAAUGGCCUUGAGGUGAUCAUUACUGAGAGGCUAUAGGAAUCCCCAAAACUUUUAUUUUCUCUAACAAAGACUUCAGCUACACAAGAUAAACUUGCCUAGAGGUCCUGAGGUUUGUGUACACACUGAUCCUGCACAGUCACAGUUACAGAAACAUUUGUCAAUUUUUGAAGAGGCACAUCCCAUCAAAUUGGCUAGUGUCCUGCAAUACUUACUAAUCAAGUGCUCUUUCAGUAGCAGUUAUGGUUUCCCUGAACCCCUUUGGUCUUAUAACCAGUGAUCAUCACCCACGAAAUUGUGAACAUCAGAGCACGUAGUUUUUUGCAGAACCUGUGGAAGGGAUUCCCUUCAACAUCCCGAGAUAUCCCCCGUGAACAAGGGAAAAAAAAAAUUCAUGUUGCUCCAAGAAGCACCUGAGAAUGUCAACUCUGAUCUCUCCCAGUCUCCUAAAACUCAUAGCAUCCAGGCUUCCAAUGAGGACCAGAAAACCCUGCAGUCUUUCCUAGGGCACUGGCAGGAAUAUAAAUUUGGCAAAAACUGGUGAGCUAUUUUCUGCCAUCAUACUGUCCCCCAUGAAGAACACAAAGCUGGAGAUCCCCAUAAAAAUUGUUCACACAUCACACUUGUGGAACCAAAAUAAAACAUCCCACACUGUAAACAGAAAUAAGACUUAAACAGUAAGGCAUUC
Rhinolophus ferrumequinum (greater horseshoe bat) is the source of this 5327-nucleotide long non-coding RNA. The record is from Ensembl. Lineage: Eukaryota; Metazoa; Chordata; Mammalia; Chiroptera; Rhinolophidae.